This 496-nucleotide ribosomal RNA is filed under the name uncultured bacterium. Its description in RNAcentral is "partial 16S ribosomal RNA". It matches the Rfam family "Bacterial small subunit ribosomal RNA", at positions 28 to 507 of the family's 1533-position model. The record is from RNAcentral.
GAUGAACGCUGGCGGCGUGCCUAAUACAUGCAAGUCGAGCGAACAGAUGAGGAGCUUGCUCCUCUGACGUUAGCGGCGGACGGGUGAGUAACACGUGGAUAACCUACCUAUAAGACUGGGAUAACUUCGGGAAACCGGAGCUAAUACCGGAUAAUAUAUUGAACCGCAUGGUUCAAUAGUGAAAGACGGUUUUGCUGUCACUUAUAGAUGGAUCCGCGCCGCAUUAGCUAGUUGGUAAGGUAACGGCUUACCAAGGCAACGAUGCGUAGCCGACCUGAGAGGGUGAUCGGCCACACUGGAACUGAGACACGGUCCAGACUCCUACGGGAGGCAGCAGUAGGGAAUCUUCCGCAAUGGGCGAAAGCCUGACGGAGCAACGCCGCGUGAGUGAUGAAGGUCUUCGGAUCGUAAAACGCUGUUAUUAGGGAAGAACAAAUGUGUAAGUAACUAUGCACGUCUUGACGGCACCUAAUCAGAAAGCCACGGCUACUACGUG